UACAGAGGUCCACAGUGUUGUGAUUCACUGGGCGUAAAGGGUGCGUAGGUGGCGAGGUAAGUCGGAUGUGAAAGCUCGGAGCUCAACUCCGAAAUGGCAUUGGAAACUACCUUGCUCGAGGGUUGGAGGGGGGACUGGAAUACUUGGUGUAGCAGUGAAAUGCGUAGAUAUCAAGUGGAACACCAGUGGCGAAGGCGAGUCCCUGGACAACUCCUGACACUGAGGCACGAAAGCUAGGGGAGCAAACAGG
RNAcentral lists this ribosomal RNA (250 nucleotides) under uncultured bacterium. Its description in RNAcentral is "partial 16S ribosomal RNA". It matches the Rfam family "Bacterial small subunit ribosomal RNA", at positions 548 to 776 of the family's 1533-position model. The record is from RNAcentral.